RNAcentral lists this ribosomal RNA (322 nucleotides) under Siro boyerae. RNAcentral describes it as "partial 12S ribosomal RNA". Lineage: Eukaryota; Metazoa; Arthropoda; Arachnida; Opiliones; Sironidae. The record is from RNAcentral.
GGUAUUAGUGGUAGUCCUUAAAACCCAAAGGGCCUGGCGGUGACAUAGUCUUUUCAGGGGAGGCUGCCCUUUAAUCUGAUAGUCCGCAAGAAAGUCUACUUUUCCUUUAAGUUUGUGUACUUCCGUCGUCAGUUUAUGCUUAGAGGGGUUUAUAAACUAGCUAGGGGUUCCUUUGACGUCAGGUCGCAGUGCAGCUCAUGGGGAAGAAGAGGUGGCCUACAUUGGGGAGUUUUCGGAUUUUCCUUGGAAUUGGGAAAAGAAGGUGGACUUGAGAGUAAUGUUUUAGUAGUUUGAUGUCGUGAAAUAAAGCUCUGUGUCGUGU